Molecule: ribosomal RNA, 320 nt
Filed under: Bacillus sp. SA1-12
Lineage: Bacteria; Bacillati; Bacillota; Bacilli; Caryophanales; Bacillaceae
Description: bacterial SSU rRNA
Rfam family: Bacterial small subunit ribosomal RNA
Source: RNAcentral
UUUAUUGGAGAGUUUGAUCCUGGCUCAGGACGAACGCUGGCGGCGUGCCUAAUACAUGCAAGUCGAGCGAAUCUGAGGGAGCUUGCUCCCGAAGAUUAGCGGCGGACGGGUGAGUAACACGUGGGUAACCUGCCUGUAAGAUUGGGAUAACUCCGGGAAACCGAAGCUAAUACCGGAUAAUAUUUCGAACCGCAUGGUUCGAAAUUGAAAGGUGGCUUUUGCUACCACUUACAGAUGGACCCGCGGCGCAUUAGCUAGUUGGUGAGGUAACGGCUCACCAAGGCGACGAUGCGUAGCCGACCUGAGAGGGUGAUCGGCCA